UGGUGCUUGCACCUGAUUGAUUUUGGUCACCAACGAGUGGCAGACGGGUGAGUAACGCGUAAGUAACCUGCCCAGAAUCGGGGGACAACAUUUGGAAACAGAUGCUAAUACCGCAGAACAACGUUGUUCGCAUGAACAACGCUUAAAAGAUGGCUUCUCGCUAUCACUUCUGGAUGGACCUGCGGUGCAUUAACUUGUUGGUGGGGUAAUGGCCUACCAAGGCGAUGAUGCAUAGCCGAGUUGAGAGACUGAUCCGCCACAAUGGGACUGAGACACGGCCCAUACUCCUACGGGAGGCAGCAGUAGGGAAUCUUCCACAAUGGGCGCAAGCCUGAUGGAGCAACACCGCGUGAGUGAAGAAGGGUUUCGGCUCGUAAAGCUCUGUUGUUAAAGAAGAACACGUAUGAGAGUAACUGUUCAUACGUUGACGGUAUUUAACCAGAAAGUCACGGCUAACUACGUGCCAGCAGCCGCGGUAAUACGUAGGUGGCAAGCGUUAUCCGGAUUUAUUGGGCGUAAAGAGAGUGCAGGCGGUUUUCUAAGUCUGAUGUGAAAGCCUUCGGCUUAACCGGAGAAGUGCAUCGGAAACUGGAUAACUUGAGUGC
Molecule: ribosomal RNA, 605 nt
Filed under: Limosilactobacillus fermentum
Lineage: Bacteria; Bacillati; Bacillota; Bacilli; Lactobacillales; Lactobacillaceae
Description: bacterial SSU rRNA
Rfam family: Bacterial small subunit ribosomal RNA
Source: RNAcentral